RNAcentral lists this ribosomal RNA (460 nucleotides) under uncultured bacterium. RNAcentral's name for it is "partial 16S ribosomal RNA". It matches the Rfam family "Bacterial small subunit ribosomal RNA", at positions 338 to 795 of the family's 1533-position model. The record is from RNAcentral.
CCUACGGGUGGCAGCAGUGAGGAAUAUUGGUCAAUGGGCGCUAGCCUGAACCAGCCAAGUAGCGUGAAGGAUGACUGCCCUAUGGGUUGUAAACUUCUUUUAUAUGGGAAUAAAGUGCAGUAUGUAUACUGCUUUGCAUGUACCUUAUGAAUAAGGAUCGGCUAACUCCGUGCCAGCAGCCGCGGUAAUACGUAGGGGGCGAGCUUUAUCCGGAUUUACUGGGUGUAAAGGGAGCGUAGCAGGCGUCGCAAGUCUGAAGUGAAAGCCCGUGGCUCAACCGCGGAACCGCUUUGGAAACUGCGUGGCUGGAGUGCUGGAGAGGUAAGCGGAAUUCCUGGUGUAGCGGUGAAAUGCGUAGAUAUCAGGAGGAACACCGGUGGCGAAGGCGGCUUACUGGACAGUGACUGACGUUGAGGCUCGAAAGCGUGGGGAGCGAACAGGAUUAGAUACCCCUGUAGUC